This 431-nucleotide ribosomal RNA is filed under the name uncultured bacterium. RNAcentral describes it as "partial 16S ribosomal RNA". It matches the Rfam family "Bacterial small subunit ribosomal RNA", at positions 29 to 507 of the family's 1533-position model. The record is from RNAcentral.
AACGAACGCUGGCGGCAGGCUUAACACAUGCAAGUCGAACGCCCCGCAAGGGGAGUGGCAGACGGGUGAGUAACGCGUGGGAACAUACCCUUUUCUACGGAAUAGCCCUGGGAAACUGGAAUUAAUACCGUAUACGCCCUACGGGGGAAAGAUUUAUCGGGGAAGGAUUGGCCCGCGUUGGAUUAGCUAGUUGGUGGGGUAAAGGCCUACCAAGGCGACGAUCCAUAGCUGGUCUGAGAGGAUGAUCAGCCACAUUGGGACUGAGACACGGCCCAAACUCCUACGGGAGGCAGCAGUGGGGAAUAUUGGACAAUGGGCGCGAGCCUGAUCCAGCCAUGCCGCGUGAGUGAUGAAGGCCUUAGGGUUGUAAAGCUCUUUCACCGAUGAAGAUAAUGACGGUAGUCGGAGAAGAAGCCCCGGCUAACUUCGUG